UUGAGGCCACAAGAAAACAGAAUCAUUAGCACUAGAUGGAGGCCCUGCUGGGACCUUUCCAACCAUCAGCCACAGAGUGAUGAUGAGCUCGAGGUCACUGGGCCAAACUGCCUGGACCCCCAUCCUGGCUCUGCCUCUUGGAGCUGGUGACCCAGUGUAGGCUCUCUGACCUCUCGGUGCCUCCGCUUUCCCGCCUGUGAAAUGGACAUAAAAAAAUAAACCUAACGCAGAAGACUGUGGGGAGAAGUCACCCAGAGCAGCGCCAGCACACAGCGAGCUCUCGCACCCUUAGCACAGAGAAGAGGCCACAUGAGGACACAGUGAGAAGGCAGCUGUCUGCAAGCCAGAAAGAGAGGCCUCACCAGACACCAACCCUGCUGACAACUUGAUCUCAGAC
Delphinapterus leucas (beluga whale) is the source of this 397-nucleotide non-coding RNA. The record is from RefSeq and is a predicted model, not a curated record. NCBI's taxonomy places the organism in Eukaryota, Metazoa, Chordata, Mammalia, Artiodactyla, Monodontidae.